GAACGCUGGCGGCGUGCCUAAUACAUGCAAGUCGAGCGAACAGACGAGGAGCUUGCUCCUCUGACGUUAGCGGCGGACGGGUGAGUAACACGUGGAUAACCUACCUAUAAGACUGGGAUAACUUCGGGAAACCGGAGCUAAUACCGGAUAACAUGUUGAACCGCAUGGUUCAACAGUGAAAGACGGUCUUGCUGUCACUUAUAGAUGGAUCCGCGCCGCAUUAGCUAGUUGGUAAGGUAACGGCUUACCAAGGCAACGAUGCGUAGCCGACCUGAGAGGGUGAUCGGCCACACUGGAACUGAGACACGGUCCAGACUCCUACGGGAGGCAGCAGUAGGGAAUCUUCCGCAAUGGGCGAAAGCCUGACGGAGCAACGCCGCGUGAGUGAWGAAGGUCUUCGGAUCGUAAAACUCUGUUAUUAGGGAAGAACAAAUGUGUAAGUAACUAUGCACGUCUUGACGGUACCUAAUCAGAAAGCCACGGCUAACUAC
This 491-nucleotide ribosomal RNA is filed under the name Staphylococcus capitis. RNAcentral's name for it is "bacterial SSU rRNA". The record is from RNAcentral. Lineage: Bacteria; Bacillati; Bacillota; Bacilli; Caryophanales; Staphylococcaceae.